RNAcentral lists this small RNA (143 nucleotides) under Xanthomonas campestris pv. campestris. RNAcentral describes it as "ncRNA of unknown function". Lineage: Bacteria; Pseudomonadati; Pseudomonadota; Gammaproteobacteria; Lysobacterales; Lysobacteraceae. The record is from RNAcentral.
GUCGGGUCCAAUCGACUUUCGAGACUGUGGUGAUGCUCCGACAGGAGCGCUAGCCCCAGCAGGCUGAUGGAGCGUUGACAAGUUCUGUCAAAAAAGCCUUAUGAAUCAGGCCCCCGGGUAGCUUCGCUAACCGGGGGCUUUGU